Podarcis lilfordi (Lilford's wall lizard) is the source of this 73-nucleotide non-coding RNA. The record is from the annotation of a GenBank genome assembly. NCBI's taxonomy places the organism in Eukaryota, Metazoa, Chordata, Lepidosauria, Squamata, Lacertidae.
GACUGGAUAGCUCAGUUGGUAGAACAUGAGAUUAUUAAUCUCAGGGUUGUGGGUUUGAGACCCAUGGUGGGCA